Molecule: long non-coding RNA, 3804 nt
Organism: Cavia porcellus (domestic guinea pig)
Lineage: Eukaryota; Metazoa; Chordata; Mammalia; Rodentia; Caviidae
Source: Ensembl
CGGAGUCCGGAGCACCUGCCUGCCCACCAGCCAGGAGCCCUCCGCCCGCUGCUGGCCUUUCCAGUCCGCGUCCCUCAGCAAUGAGCACACAGCAGAUGGCCUUCAAGGGGCUACUGGGCUGGGUGUGUGGUUGGAGCAAAGCCUGGAGAGCUGGGCUUGGGACAGGGGGCUGUGGGCUUCCUGGCCUGUGCCCCAGAGAGGCCCCCCUUCCUCCAAAGGAGCUGUCCAGGAAAGAUGGGGCUGAUUCCGUGUUCCCUGGACUUAGCCUGGACGUCCCAGCGUCGUCCUCGGGUGUCAAGACCUCGGCCACCUUGAAGCGGCCCACCAGCCUCAGCCGCCAUGCCAGCGCUGCAGGCUUCCCGCUCUCGGGCUCGGGCUCCUGGACCCUAGGCCGGGGCUACCGAAGCCCCUUGAUGGCUGCCAGCCCUGCAGAACCCUCUGCUGAGGGUCUAGGCCCUGAGACCACUGAGGAUAUCUCCAGCCUGCUGGCUGAUGUGUCCCGCUUAGCAGAUGGUCUGGUAAAACUCAAGGAGUGUGUGUCAAAUGAUGAGCUCCUGGAGGCCCGGAGGCCGAAGGCCCAUGAGCGCCUGGGGGAGGCCCUGCGUGUGCUACAUCAGGUCAUCUGCAAGUACCCAAUGCUGAACACCUUGGAGACACUGACUGCCGCGGGCAAGCUCAUCGCCAAGGUUAAAGCCUUCCAUUUUGAAUGUAACCUUGACUCAGACAAAAGGGAAUUUGAGAAAGCCCUGGAGACCAUGGCAGUGUCCUUCAGCAGUAGUGUGUCGGAGUUCUUUAUGGGUGAGGUGGAUAGCAGCACACUCCUGGCCGUGCCUCUUGGGGACCCCAGCCAGGCCAUGGAGAACCUUUACUCAGGCAGCGAGGGCUCCCCAGCCGGCGCCGAGGACUGCGAGGAAGGCUGCCUGCCCCCGGAGGAGGUGGACCUACUUCUGCAGCGCUGUGAGGGCGGCGUGGACGUGGCCCUGCAGUAUGCCAAGAACAUGGCCAAGUACAUGAAAGACCUCAUUGGCUACCUGGAGAAGCGGAUGGCGCUGGAGAUGGAGUUCGCUAAGGGUCUGCUGAAAAUCAUCCACGGCUGCCGACAGAGCGUGAUUCAAGAGCCCCACAUGCCCCUGAUGUCCAUCUACUCGCUGGCCCUGGAACAGGACAUGGAGUUCAGCCACAGUAUUGUGCAGGCAGCGACCACGCUGCAGGCGCAGACCUUCAUACAGCCCCUCACCCACCGGCGGCUGGAGCAUGAGAGGCGCAGGAAGGAAAUCAAGGAGUCCUGGCAACGUGCACAGCGGAAGCUGGUAGGAGCCGGGGUGGGGCAAGGGGACACGGAAGAGGGGUGUGGGGUGCGCGCGCGCGCGUGUGUAUGUGUGUGUGUGUGGUGUGUGUAUAAAAAAACACACAGGAUGGCUGCGCAUGCGCAGUGUCUUGCACAGGUGUGGGACACCUGGACUGCGCAUGCGCCCUCGUUGGUUCCUGCAAAGAUCUCAGAUCUAUCUGCCCUAGUUCAAAGAUUCACUGUCCAGAGGCCCCCAGAGCACGAGGGUUCCCAGGUUGGAGAGAACCUGGGGGUCACUAGCUUAAGUAGGGGGCUCCGGGAAAGUAGUCUCUUCUUGAUUCUCUCUGUGAUGCUUCAAAGGCCCUGCAGAAGAUGGGCGUGGUGGCCACAGCCUCUAUGUGACCCCAGUGCUCCUGUGGCUGAGACAGGAGGGUCACAGGGAGUUCCAGGCUAGAAUGGGCUGCAGAGUGAGUUGAAUAGCAGCGGGAACCUCACAGUAAGGCUCAGUCUCUCAAAAAAUAAAAAUAAAACCAAAAACACUUUGCACUAAGUGGCCCAGUCUGUACUCGAACUUGUGUCCCUCCUGCAUCAGCCUCCCUGGAGGGUGCUGGGAGGCCAGGGUGUGUGCCACCGGGGGCAGCCUUCUUUCUUUUUUUUUUUUUUUAACAGCCUUUUGGGUGACUCAUCCGAAAAGGCCUUCCCCUCAUCAGGGUUGUUUAUCACCGUUAUGGUCCUAAUUGUAUUAGUUCUUUUUGGGGUGGGGUGUUGAACCCAGAGCAAGUACAAGCUGCACCUGAGCACAAUCUAUUCUUUUCUGAACCUCAUCGUUUCUGCAGUCCCCAUCCGCCCCCCAGUUUCUGGCCAAGCGCUUCCUGAGGAGCCCCAGGGCUGUUGACUUCCUGUCUAGGCCCCCCCACAUUUCAUCUCUUGGAAGGAAGUGAAAUCAGCUGAGAUGUGAGGCGCCAGCCGCGUCUGCCGGGGCGCUGGCUGAUCGCUGGUGCUUCUGUGGGGAGCCUCAGCCUCCUCACCUGAGCAAUGGGCACCCAUGCUGCCAGCCGCAGUGGGCCGUGGGUCUCCAGGAAGCAAACACUGGUGGAGCAGGGUCAGAGCCCAUCUCCCCGUUCCCACACCCACAGCAAGAAGCUGAAAACAACCUGAAAAAGGCCAAGGCGAGCUACGUGCAGCGCUCUGAGGACCAUGACAAGGCCCGGUUUCAAGUGGCCAAGGAAGAGCAGGGCGCCACCCCACCUGGGGUGGGCAGUGCAGCUUCCAAGACACUGGACAAGAGGCGACGGCUGGAGGAGGAAGCCAAGAACAAGGUCAGGGUAUGGGGAUGAGACCGGGGGUGCAGAUUUCGCCUCCAGGCUUCGACUCAGACCCCAGCUCCUCUUGAGAAUACCCUUCCCGGUGGCACCUGUGGUGGUGCACAGCUGUCAUUCCAGCACUGUGGGUGGCUGAGGCAGAAGGAUCUCAAAUUCUAGCCCAGCCUGGACCACUUUAGCAAGACCUUCUCUCAAAAAGUAAAAAAACAAAACCCAAAAAAUCAGACUGGGAAUGUAGCUCAUGUAAAGGCCCAAGAUUCCAUUCCUAGGACCACAAAAUAAACACACAAUUUAAAAAAUGCCCCUCCCACCUUCUCCUGCCUGGCUCCUCCAGAGAAUUUUUGUUUUAUUUGACUAAUUAUUUUUGAUCUUAGGAACGUCUUUAUUCUUAAUCAAAGGGCAACACUUUUCUCCAGUCAGCAUCAAAUCUAUUUUACAGGGUACUAUUUUUGUUAACCACAAAACCUUUCAGAAGGCAGCUUUAAUUGAAAGUUUAAAAUUUGCACUUUCACACUAGAAGACCAUUAGUUUUAUGGAUUCAGUGGUUAAGAAGGCAAAAGUCCCAUAAAGGCUUCAGGGCAAGUGGAAUCUAAAUGAUUCAGAUCAGUAGUAUAGUGUAUCAAACCGGCCCCUUCCCUUGUAUUCAAAACCAGGUCAGUAGCGAUUAUUUGUGGUCAACUCAACUGCACAAGCAUGCAACCAAAUUUGAAACCAACUCCGCCUUCACGUUACUGUAAUUAAUUUAUGUUCGAGGCAGAGUCUCACUAUGCAAUUCAGGCUGGCCUUGAAUUUAUAAUGUAGCCCAGGCUGGCCUCGAACUCCUGGUGAUCCUCCUGCCUCAGCCUCCCAAGCCCUGGGAUGCUAGGCAUGCAGCCCCAAGCCGGCUCUCGGGAGGUUUUCCUGUCAGGCCUGGCCAGUAACAGACUGGCUGAGGCCUGAGCCCCUGGGCUGAGCCUCCCGGCCCAUCCUGACCCCCUUACACACACCCCAGGCGGAGGAAGCCUUGGCCACCUACCGCACGUGCGUGGCAGAUGCCAAGACUCAGAAGCAGGAGCUGGAGGACACGAAAGUGGCGCGCUGCGGCAGAUCCAGGAGAUCAUCCGCCAAAGCGACCAGACCAUCAAGUCGGUGGGUGGCGGCCGUGCUGCGCGCCCGCUUGGCGGGGGGUGGGGAGGGGGAGUGGCGGGGGACUGG